RNAcentral lists this ribosomal RNA (391 nucleotides) under uncultured bacterium. RNAcentral's name for it is "bacterial SSU rRNA". It matches the Rfam family "Bacterial small subunit ribosomal RNA", at positions 28 to 420 of the family's 1533-position model. The record is from RNAcentral.
GACGAACGCUGGCGGCGUGCUUAACACAUGCAAGUCGAGCGGUAAGGCUCUUUCGGGGGGUACACGAGCGGCGAACGGGUGAGUAACACGUGGGUGACCUGCCCUCAGCUCUGGGAUAAGCCUGGGAAACCGGGUCUAAUACCGGAUAUGACUCCAUGACGCAUGUUGUGGGGUGGAAAGCCUUGUGCGGCUGAGGAUGGGCCCGCGGCCUAUCAGCUUGUUGGUGGGGUGAGGCCUACCAAGGCGACGACGGGUAGCCGGCCUGAGAGGGCGACCGGCCACACUGGGACUGAGACACGGCCCAGACUCCUACGGGAGGCAGCAGUGGGGAAUCUUGCGCAAUGGGCGAAAGCCUGACGCAGCGACGCCGCGUGAGGGAUGACGGCCUCGG